CAGUAGCCACGGGAAUACGAAGGGGGCUAGCGUUGCUCGGAAUGACUGGGCGUAAAGGGCGCGUAGGCGGAUUGUUUAGUUAGGCAUGAAAUUCCUGGGCUUAACCUGGGGACUGCGCUUAAUACAGGCAGUCUAGAGUGAGGAAGAGGGUUGUGGAAUUCCCAGUGUAGAGGUGAAAUUCGUAGAUAUUUGGAAGAACACCGGUGGCGAAGGCGGCAACCUGGUCCUUGACUGACGCUGAGGCGCGAAAGCGUGGGGAGCAAACAGGAUUAGAUACCCCGGUAGUCCCUGUCUCUUAUAC
This 301-nucleotide ribosomal RNA is filed under the name uncultured bacterium. RNAcentral describes it as "partial 16S ribosomal RNA". It matches the Rfam family "Bacterial small subunit ribosomal RNA", at positions 509 to 807 of the family's 1533-position model. The record is from RNAcentral.